Molecule: unclassified non-coding RNA, 428 nt
Filed under: soil metagenome
Description: partial contains 5.8S ribosomal RNA, internal transcribed spacer 2, and large subunit ribosomal RNA
Rfam family: 5.8S ribosomal RNA (bases 1-120)
Source: RNAcentral
GAUGAAGAACGUAGCGAAAUGCGAUACGUAAUGUGAAUUGCAGAAUUCAGUGAAUCAUCGAAUCUUUGAACGCAUAUUGCGCUCUCUGGUAUUCCGGAGAGCAUGCUUGUUUGAGUAUCAGUAAACACCUCAACUCCCUUUUCUUUUUUGAAAUUGGAGCUGGACUUGAGUGAUCCCAACGCUUUCUUCCAAGAAAGUGGCGGGUUGCUUGAAAUGCAGGUGCAGCUGAACUUUUCUCUGAGCUAUAAGCAUAUCUAUUUAGUCUGCCUAAAAAACAGAUUAUUACCUUUGCUGCAGCUAACAUAAAGGAGACUAGUUCUUGUGCUGACUGAUGCAGGAUUCACAGAGACAGCUUCGGCUGACUUUGUAAACUCGAUCUCAAAUCAAGUAAGACUACCCGCUGAACUUAAGCAUAUAAUAAGCGGAGG